UAUAAUUGCGCCCCUGCAGGUGUCCGGCCCGUCAACGACAGGCCGGGUGAAACGGGAAGCCGGUGACAAUCCGGCGCUGCCCCCGCAACGGUAAGGCCUGAUCGUGUGCAACGCGAUCCAGGAGCAACAACCGCCACUGUCCGCACGGACGGGAAGGCGUUGCUCCGCAAGGCCGAGCCCGGAGACCGGCCUGCAGCGUGCCCGUGCG
RNAcentral lists this non-coding RNA (208 nucleotides) under Rhodocyclales bacterium. Lineage: Bacteria; Pseudomonadati; Pseudomonadota; Betaproteobacteria; Rhodocyclales. The record is from RNAcentral.